UACGAAGGGGGCUAGCGUUGCUCGGAAUCACUGGGCGUAAAGGGUGCGUAGGCGGGUCUUUUAGUCAGGGGUGAAAUCCUGGAGCUCAACUCCAGAACUGCCUUUGAUACUGAGGAUCUUGAGUUCGGGAGAGGUGAGUGGAACUGCGAGUGUAGAGGUGAAAUUCGUAGAUAUUCGCAAGAACACCAGUGGCGAAGGCGGCUCACUGGCCCGAUACUGACGCUGAGGCACGAAAGCGUGGGGAGCAAACAGG
This 253-nucleotide ribosomal RNA is filed under the name uncultured bacterium. RNAcentral describes it as "partial 16S ribosomal RNA". It matches the Rfam family "Bacterial small subunit ribosomal RNA", at positions 524 to 776 of the family's 1533-position model. The record is from RNAcentral.